UACGGAGGGUGCAAGCGUUAAUCGGAAUUACUGGGCGUAAAGCGCACGCAGGCGGUUUGUUAAGUCAGAUGUGAAAUCCCUGGGCUCAACCUGGGAACUGCAUCUGAUACUGGCAAGCUUGAGUCUCGUAGAGGGGGGUAGAAUUCCAGGUGUAGCGGUGAAAUGCGUAGAGAUCUGGAGGAAUACCGAUGGCGAAGGCAGCCUCCUGGGAUAACACUGACGUUCAUGCCCGAAAGCGUGGGUAGCAAACAGGAUUAGAUACCCUGGUAGUCCACGCCCUAAACGAUGUCGAUUAGCUGUUGGGCAGCAUGACUGCUUAGUAGCGAAGCUAACGCGUGAAAUCGACCGCCUGGGGAGUACGGUCGCAAGAUUAAAACUC
This 379-nucleotide ribosomal RNA is filed under the name uncultured Neisseriaceae bacterium. RNAcentral describes it as "bacterial SSU rRNA". It matches the Rfam family "Bacterial small subunit ribosomal RNA", at positions 524 to 902 of the family's 1533-position model. The record is from RNAcentral. Lineage: Bacteria; Pseudomonadati; Pseudomonadota; Betaproteobacteria; Neisseriales; Neisseriaceae.